Molecule: ribosomal RNA, 292 nt
Filed under: uncultured Bacteroidota bacterium
Lineage: Bacteria; Pseudomonadati; Bacteroidota
Description: uncultured Bacteroidetes bacterium partial 16S ribosomal RNA
Source: RNAcentral
GGACUACUCGGGUUUCUAAUCCUGUUUGAUCCCCACACUUUCGUGCCUCAGCGUCAGUUUCAGUUUCGUCAGCUGCCUUCGCAAUCGGUGUUCUGUGUCAUAUCUAUGCAUUUCACCGCUACAUGACACAUUCCGCCAACGUCAUCUGUACUCUAGUCCAGCAGUAUCAAUGGCAGUUCUCCCGUUAAGCGGGAGGAUUUCACCACUGACUUACUAAACCGCCUACGCACCCUUUAAACCCAAUGAAUCCGGAUAACGCUUGGAUCCUUCGUAUUACCGCGGCUGCUGGCAC